ACUCCUACGGGAGGCAGCAGUGGGGAAUAUUGGACAAUGGGCGCAAGCCUGAUCCAGCAAUGCCGCGUGAGUGAGGAAGGCCUUAGGGUUGUAAAGCUCUUUCACCCGCGACGAUGAUGACGGUACCGGAAGAAUAAGCACCGGCUAACUACGUGCCAGCAGCCGCGGUAAUACGUAGGGUGCAAGCGUUAAUCGGAAUUAUUGGGCGUAAAGCGCGCGCAGGCGGCUUCCUAAGUCUGUCGGUCAAACGCCGGGGCUCAACCCCGAGCUCGCCGGAGAUACUGGGAGGCUGGAGACAGGUAGAGGCAAGCGGAAUUCCGGGUGUAGCGGUGGAAUGCGUAGAGAUCCGGAAGAACACCAGUGGCGAAGGCGGCCAUCUGGCCUGGAAUUGACGCUGAGGCGCGAAAGCGUGGGGAGCAAACAGGAUUAGAUACCCUGGUAGUCCACGCCCUAAACGAUGUCGACUGGGUGUUGGGGAAGCGAUUUCCCAGUACCGUAGCUAACGCGUGAAGUCGACCGCCUGGGGAGUACGGCCGCAAGGUUAAAACUUAAAGGAAUUGACGGGAC
RNAcentral lists this ribosomal RNA (567 nucleotides) under uncultured Pseudomonadota bacterium. RNAcentral describes it as "bacterial SSU rRNA". It matches the Rfam family "Bacterial small subunit ribosomal RNA", at positions 335 to 919 of the family's 1533-position model. Lineage: Bacteria; Pseudomonadati; Pseudomonadota. The record is from RNAcentral.